This 76-nucleotide transfer RNA is filed under the name Chloroflexi bacterium 44-23. RNAcentral's name for it is "tRNA-Lys". It matches the Rfam family "tRNA". Rfam says of the family: Transfer RNA (tRNA) molecules are approximately 80 nucleotides in length. Their secondary structure includes four short double-helical elements and three loops (D, anti-codon, and T loops). Further hydrogen bonds mediate the characteristic L-shaped molecular structure. tRNAs have two regions of fundamental functional importance: the anti-codon, which is responsible for specific mRNA codon recognition, and the 3' end, to which the tRNAs corresponding amino acid is attached (by aminoacyl-tRNA synthetases). tRNAs cope with the degeneracy of the genetic code in two manners: having more than one tRNA (with a specific anti-codon) for a particular amino acid; and 'wobble' base-pairing, i.e. permitting non-standard base-pairing at the 3rd anti-codon position. Lineage: Bacteria; Bacillati; Chloroflexota. The record is from RNAcentral.
GGCUCACUAGCUCAAUUGGCAGAGCAAUUGACUCUUAAUCAAUCGGUUCAGGGUUCAAGUCCCUGGUGAGUCACUA